Momordica charantia (bitter melon) is the source of this 854-nucleotide non-coding RNA. The record is from RefSeq and is a predicted model, not a curated record. NCBI's taxonomy places the organism in Eukaryota, Viridiplantae, Streptophyta, Magnoliopsida, Cucurbitales, Cucurbitaceae.
AAAGAGAGAUACCCGAUCGAUGAGUUGGAAUCAGCUAGAUUUUCCCCUCCAAACAGAUUCCUAGGGUUUGGAUUGACAAACCCUCUUUUUGGUGUUUUAAAAAGAUUGUAACUUUGGUGUUGGCGUUGAAAGUUGUAGAGACAGUUGCUGGUUGCUGGCGUAGCAUUAUCAAGAUUCACAUUGAAAUGAAAUGUUCCAGCUACGCGUUGGGUUCCAGAUUUAAUUUGAAGUGAGAAUCUUGAUGAUGCUGCAUCGGCAAUAAGAACAACUUGAGAAAUAUUUGGUGUUGAAUUAAUUAUUAAAGGGAUCAUUUGGUUGGAUGGAUCCGGUUGCCACACCAAGGAACAAGGCUAAGCUGGGAAAGAAGAGAAUCUGGAGAUGAAUUGAAAUCAGGUAAAUAAUAUUCUAUCUAGUUUCCAUUAUAUAUGUAUAUAUGUAUAAAUUAUUGAAUAAGUAAAGAAGAAAAAAGGGUGUUAGAGGUGAGGAGAAAUGGAUAAAGAAAUCAGUGGACGUUGAGGGUGGAAGUUUAGCAUAAUAAUGAAUCCAUCCAUGAGAAUGUGAGUUGGUGGACCAAAGAAGCAGGAGACAUGCCUGUAACUAGGACCCCUUAUUCAUUCAUGUACCUUCUUUUUCUUCUCUCUCCAUGGAUACAUCUCUGGUUUAUUAUUAUUAUUAUUUCUAAGGGUGAUGUUGAUGAUUCAGGAAUUUGGAGAUUGUGGAGAUCUUCCCCACUCACUGCCUCGCUUCUCUCUUCCAUCUCAUAAUUAUUUCACUUCUUUUCAUUUUGAAUCUAUAAAUCAAUCAUUCAACUGAUUCAAGAAUUUGGAGAUAUAUUCUGUUUAAUUUGCCUCUCA